AUUGAACGCUGGCGGCAGGCCUAACACAUGCAAGUCGAACGGUAACAGGAAACAGCUUGCUGUUUCGCUGACGAGUGGCGGACGGGCGAGUAAUGUCUGGGAAACUGCCUGAUGGAGGGGGAUAACUACUGGAAACGGUAGCUAAUACCGCAUAACGUCGCAAGACCAAAGAGGGGGACCUUCGGGCCUCUUGCCAUCAGAUGUGCCCAGAUGGGAUUAGCUAGUAGGUGGGGUAACGGCUCACCUAGGCGACGAUCCCUAGCUGGUCUGAGAGGAUGACCAGCCACACUGGAACUGAGACACGGUCCAGACUCCUACGGGAGGCAGCAGUGGGGAAUAUUGCACAAUGGGCGCAAGCCUGAUGCAGCCAUGCCGCGUGUAUGAAGAAGGCCUUCGGGUUGUAAAGUACUUUCAGCGGGGAGGAAGGGAGUAAAGUUAAUACCUUUGCUCAUUGACGUUACCCGCAGAAGAAGCACCGGCUAACUCCGUG
Molecule: ribosomal RNA, 490 nt
Filed under: uncultured bacterium
Lineage: Bacteria
Description: partial 16S ribosomal RNA
Rfam family: Bacterial small subunit ribosomal RNA
Source: RNAcentral